This 428-nucleotide ribosomal RNA is filed under the name uncultured archaeon. RNAcentral's name for it is "bacterial SSU rRNA". It matches the Rfam family "Archaeal small subunit ribosomal RNA", at positions 474 to 903 of the family's 1478-position model. The record is from RNAcentral.
UACCUGCAGCUCAAGUGGUGAUCGUUAUUAUUGGGCCUAAAACGUCCGUAGCCGGUCUUGUAAAUGCCUGGGUAAAUCGUAUGGCUUAACUAUACGAAUUCCGGGUAGACUGUUAGACUUGAGACCGGGAGAAGCUAGAGGUACUCCUGGGGUAGAGGUGAAAUUCUGUAAUCCUAGGGGGACCACCAGUGGCGAAGGCGUCUAGCUAGAACGGGUCUGACGGUGAGGGACGAAGCCCUGGGGCGCAAACGGGAUUAGAUACCCCGGUAGUCCAGGGUGUAAACGCUGCUUGCUUGAUGUUAGUCUGGCUCCGAGCCAGAUUAGUGUCGGAGAGAAGUUGUUAAGCAAGCUGCCUGGGAAGUACGGCCGCAAGACUGAAACUUAAAGGAAUUGGCGGGGAGCACAGCAACGGGUGGAGCGUGCGGUUU